This 433-nucleotide ribosomal RNA is filed under the name uncultured bacterium. RNAcentral's name for it is "partial 16S ribosomal RNA". It matches the Rfam family "Bacterial small subunit ribosomal RNA", at positions 29 to 507 of the family's 1533-position model. The record is from RNAcentral.
AACGAACGCUGGCGGCAUGCCUAACACAUGCAAGUCGAACGAGACCUUCGGGUCUAGUGGCGCACGGGUGCGUAACGCGUGGGAACCUGCCCUUAGGUUCGGAAUAACUCCCCGAAAGGGGUGCUAAUACCGGAUAAUGUCUUCGGACCAAAGGUUUAUCGCCUUUGGAUGGGCCCGCGUUGUAUUAGCUAGUUGGUAGGGUAAAAGCCUACCAAGGCGACGAUCCAUAGCUGGUCUGUGAGGAUGAUCAGCCACACUGGGACUGAGACACGGCCCAGACUCCUACCGGAGGGCGCAGUGGGGAAUAUUGGACAAUGGGCGAAAGCCUGAUCCAGUAAAGCCGCGUGAGUGAUGAAAGCCUUAGGGUUGUUAAGCUCUUUUACCCGGGAUGAUAAUGACAGUACCGGGAGAAUAAGCUCCGGCUAACUCCGUG